RNAcentral lists this ribosomal RNA (533 nucleotides) under Pristimantis onorei. RNAcentral describes it as "partial large subunit ribosomal RNA". It matches the Rfam family "Bacterial large subunit ribosomal RNA", at positions 1808 to 2557 of the family's 2925-position model. Lineage: Eukaryota; Metazoa; Chordata; Amphibia; Anura; Strabomantidae. The record is from RNAcentral.
CAAAAACACCGCCUCUUGCUUAUAUAAGAGGUCCAGCCUGCCCAGUGACUUCUGUUCAACGGCCGCGGUAUCCUAACCGUGCAAAGGUAGCGUAAUCACUUGUCUUCUAAAUAAAGACUAGUAUGAAAGGCAUCACGAGGACUAAACUGUCUCCUCUCCCUAAUCAGUGAACCUAAUAACCCCGUGAAGAAGCGGGGGUAUUUAUAUAAGACGAGAAGACCCUAUGGAGCUUAAAACAUCAUAACACCUGCCACCCCACCUAUUAACCCCGGUUUUCAUCCCCGUGGCUCCCUGAUUAUAUGUUUUUGGUUGGGGCGACCGCGGAGAAAAACCUAUCCUCCACAAUGAAGGGGACCUCCCUAAACAGUAAGCUACAACUUUUAUGUAUCAGCAAACUGACAUCCAUUGACCCAAUAUAUUUGAUUAACGAACCAAGUUACCCUAGGGAUAACAGCGCAAUCCACUUUUGAGAGCCCCUAUCCGACAAGUGGGCUUACGACCUCGAUGUUGGAUCGGGGUAUCCUAGUGGUGCA